Ipomoea nil (Japanese morning glory) is the source of this 256-nucleotide long non-coding RNA. RefSeq lists it as uncharacterized. NCBI's taxonomy places the organism in Eukaryota, Viridiplantae, Streptophyta, Magnoliopsida, Solanales, Convolvulaceae. The record is from RefSeq and is a predicted model, not a curated record. The transcript has 3 exons.
UCCUCCCCCUGUCAUAGUCAGGUUUCUGCAACACAAGAAGUAUUAAGUAACUCACAAGUACACUCAGAAAUCAAUAACCCAUCGAGCCAAUCAAGCUUUUCAAUGUCAACAGGAGACCAAUCAGGUCCUGCUAAGUGAUUCAAAUUCAGCACAUACAUCUUAGCUAUUCACUGUGUUAGAGGAGAAGGAAGCUCAGGCUGGAAUGCCAUUGAAGCUUAUCAUAUAUAUAUUUAUCCCCACAGAUUGAUUAGGAUGU